UGGGGAAUAUUGGACAAUGGGCGCAAGCCUGAUCCAGCCAUGCCGCUUGAGUGAUGAAUGCCCUAGGGUUGUAAAGCUCUUUCACCGGUGAAGAUAAUGACGGUAACCGGAGAAGAAGCCCCGGCUAACUUCGUGCCAGCAGCCGCGGUAAUACGAAGGGGGCUAGCGUUGUUCGGAUUUACUGGGCGUAAAGCGCACGUAGGCGGACUUUUAAGUCAGGGGUGAAAUCCCGGGGCUCAACCCCGGAACUGCCUUUGAUACUGGAAGUCUUGAGUAUGGUAGAGGUGAGUGGAAUUCCGAGUGUAGAGGUGAAAUUCGUAGAUAUUCGGAGGAACACCAGUGGCGAAGGCGGCUCACUGGACCAUUACUGACGCUGAGGUGCGAAAGCGUGGGGAGCAAACAGG
This 404-nucleotide ribosomal RNA is filed under the name Actinomycetes bacterium. RNAcentral describes it as "Actinobacteria bacterium partial 16S ribosomal RNA". It matches the Rfam family "Bacterial small subunit ribosomal RNA", at positions 355 to 776 of the family's 1533-position model. Lineage: Bacteria; Bacillati; Actinomycetota; Actinomycetes. The record is from RNAcentral.